RNAcentral lists this long non-coding RNA (622 nucleotides) under Olea europaea (common olive). Its description in RNAcentral is "long non-coding RNA (OEUR_LNC006951)". Lineage: Eukaryota; Viridiplantae; Streptophyta; Magnoliopsida; Lamiales; Oleaceae. The record is from RNAcentral.
UUUCCAUCUUGAUAAGAGCAAAUAUGGAGGUGAGGAUUCUAAAAGCAGUUGUCUUGGUUUUGGCUUUGGGAAUGCUAACUGGGCAGGGUUGUGCCUCUUUCAAAGAUUGCUAUACAAAAUGCUUUAUUUUUUGUAUGAUUGAACCUUCUCUGCCGUUUAAAUAUACAUAAAGAAAGUUCUAAACAUAGAAAGCUGGUCGAUAAUUAUUCAGUCAACCAUUAUGAAGGUCAGGGACCUACCAUUGUGGAGUCAUAAAAGAAAAUUGUUUUCUAAAGGAAUUUACAAUUCUAUAAAAGAAUGAAACCAGAAUAUAAGGUCUCUUUAGCCCAUUUCCAUCUUGAUAAGAGCAAAUAUGGAGGUGAGGAUUCUAAAAGCAGUUGUCUUGGUUUUGGCUUUGGGAAUGCUAACUGGGCAGGGUUGUGCCUCUUUCAAAGAUUGCUAUGCAAAAUGUUUUAUUUUUUGUAUGAUUGAACCUUCUUAAACCCUUUGUUCCUGCGCUACACACUGUUUGAAACAAUGCAUAUUUCCAGACACCCCACAAGGCGUUAAUGAAGAUGUGGAAAAUCUAGGAUUCUGCAAACUUGGAUGUGCCUUCUCCAUGUGCUCCACUAUUAGCACUAAA